This 200-nucleotide microRNA precursor is filed under the name Oryza sativa Indica Group (long-grained rice). RNAcentral describes it as "MIR812 microRNA precursor family". It matches the Rfam family "MIR812 microRNA precursor family". Lineage: Eukaryota; Viridiplantae; Streptophyta; Magnoliopsida; Poales; Poaceae. The record is from Rfam by way of RNAcentral.
AAAAAGAAAAACCCUGAAUUUCCGUGUCCAACGUUUGACCGUCCGUCUUAUUUUAAAAAAUUAUAAAAAAAAGACAAGUCACGCAUAAAGUAUUAAUCAUGUUUUAUCAUCUAACAACAAUGAAAAUAGUAAUUAUAAAAAAUUUUCAUAUAAGAUGGACAGUCAAACGUUGGACACGAAAACCCAAAAUUUGUCUUUAA